AUUGAACGCUGGCGGCAGGCCUAACACAUGCAAGCCGAACGGUAACAGGAAGAAGCUUGCUUCUUUGCUGACGAGUGGCGGACGGGUGAGUAAUGUCUGGGAAACUGCCUGAUGGAGGGGGAUAACUACUGGAAACGGUAGCUAAUACCGCAUAACGUCGCAAGACCAAGGAGGGGGACCUUCGGGCCUCUUGCCAUCGGAUGUGCCCAGAUGGGAUUAGCUAGUAGGUGGGGUAACGGCUCACCUAGGCGACGAUCCCUAGCUGGUCUGAGAGGAUGACCAGCCACACUGGAACUGAGACACGGUCCAGACUCCUACGGGAGGCAGCAGUGGGGAAUAUUGCACAAUGGGCGCAAGCCUGAUGCAGCCAUGCCGCGUGUAUGAAGAAGGCCUUCGGGUUGUAAAGUACUUUCAGCGGGGAGGAAGGGAGUAAAGUUAAUACCUUUGCUCAUUGACGUUACCCGCAGAAGAGGCACCGGCUAACUCCGUGCCAGCAGCCGCGGUAAUACGGAGGGUGCAAGCGUUAAUCGGAAUUACUGGGCGUAAAGCGCACGCAGGCGGUUUGUUAAGUCAGAUGUGAAAUCCCCGGGCUCAACCUGGGAACUGCAUCUGAUACUGGCAAGCUUGAGUCUCGUAGAGGGGGGUAGAAUUCCAGGUGUAGCGGUGAAAUGCGUAGAGAUCUGGAGGAAUACCGGUGGCGAAGGCGGCCCCCUGGACGAAGACUGACGCUCAGGUGCGAAAGCGUGGGGAGCAAACAGG
RNAcentral lists this ribosomal RNA (759 nucleotides) under uncultured Enterobacteriaceae bacterium. RNAcentral's name for it is "bacterial SSU rRNA". It matches the Rfam family "Bacterial small subunit ribosomal RNA", at positions 28 to 776 of the family's 1533-position model. The record is from RNAcentral. Lineage: Bacteria; Pseudomonadati; Pseudomonadota; Gammaproteobacteria; Enterobacterales; Enterobacteriaceae.